CAAAGUUCUUCCAACAAUUUAAGCCAGGAAUUGCCCCACUGUUUCCCAGGUGAUGAGAGCCUCUGAGAGAUGAGAAAACGGAGGCACAUAGGGUUAAGUAGAUUGUCCAAGGUCACUGCUGAUAACUGCAGCACUGGGAUUUGAAGCACUGAACUCUGCUGACCCCUGAGAAGCAUACCUCUAACAGCUGAGAUUUCCAAGGCUUUUUGGCCAAUGUGUUUGUCAACAUCUGCAACAAAUUUCCAGAACUCAGGCCAGAGCCCUGGGCAAAGCCUCCUUUUUUGUCUCCUCUUUUUAUCUCCCAGUGCAGUAGGAAGCCAUCAGAUGAUUUUAAAUGGGGAAGUAAGACACUUGGAUCUGUGCCUAAAAGAAUCACUCUGCUGUUGAGUUCCGGAGAAGCAGACUCUGAGAUAGAGGUCAUUUUGUGGGAAGCUUAUUGGGAGGUGCUCUUGGGAUCCACACCUGUAGAAGCCUCUUUGCUCCCCACACUUCAGGACUGGC
RNAcentral lists this non-coding RNA (501 nucleotides) under Pan troglodytes (chimpanzee). Lineage: Eukaryota; Metazoa; Chordata; Mammalia; Primates; Hominidae. The record is from RNAcentral.